AAAAAAACAAACCUUAGAUUUUCGUGUCCAACAUUUCAUUGUUCGUCUUAUAUGAAUUUUUUUAUAAUUAGUAUUUUCAUUGUUGUUAGAUGAUAAAAUAUGAUUAAUACUUUAUGUAUAAUUUAUCUUUUUUAAUUUUUUUUUAAUAAUAUGGACGGUUAAACGUUGGAUACGGAAACCCAU
This 183-nucleotide microRNA precursor is filed under the name Oryza glumipatula. RNAcentral describes it as "MIR812 microRNA precursor family". It matches the Rfam family "MIR812 microRNA precursor family". Lineage: Eukaryota; Viridiplantae; Streptophyta; Magnoliopsida; Poales; Poaceae. The record is from Rfam by way of RNAcentral.